Molecule: long non-coding RNA, 455 nt
Organism: Chenopodium quinoa (quinoa)
Lineage: Eukaryota; Viridiplantae; Streptophyta; Magnoliopsida; Caryophyllales; Amaranthaceae
Exons: 2
Source: RefSeq, a predicted model, not a curated record
UUACUCAAAAUGAGGUACUACUUGUUUUGUUCUCUAAAAAUAAGUUUAUACUUUAUUUUAUCAAAGGUUUUGAAUUAAGAAGUUAUUAAUGAGUAUUUAUUAUUUUUGGGUAUGAUCGAAUAAAUCAUGACGAUGAGGAAUUAAUGACGGAGGUUGAGAGUUCGAAUGAUGAUUAUUGGAGAACAAGCUAAGUGAGAUGAUUAAGGAUGAUCGAAUGAGGGAUAAUGAUGACAGAGCUGAAAUUAAUCAAAAGCAAAGGGAUUAAAGGAAUUUAGUUAGUUUAGGGAUUAUGGAACCAAGGCUUAUGUAUUAUGGAUCAUCGAGAGCUGAGAUAGAUUGAUUAUUUUAUUACAGUAAGGAAGACUGGAGUUGUAUUUUUUUUAUUGAAUAUUCUCAUUAAGGAGUAUAUUUAUUUGUGGGCCCAUAACCCACAGGUGGCUAUGAGAUUAUCUAUA